AGCAGCCGCGGUAAUUCCAGCUCCAAUAGUGUAUAUUAAAGUUGUUGCAGUUAAAAAGCUCGUAGUUGAAUUUCGAGAUCAAAUUGUUGGUCGUGCCUCGGUACGCACUGGCAUUAUUGAUUUCUCCCUUCUGAAGAACCUUGAUGUCAUUAAUUUGGUGUCUUGGGGAAUCAGGACCGUUACUUUGAAAAAAUUAGAGUGUUUAAAGCAGGCUCACGCUUGAAUACAUUAGCAUGGAAUAAUGAAAUAGGACGUUUGAUUCUAUUUUGUUGGUUUCUAGGAUCGACGUAAUGAUUAAUAGGGAUAGUUGGGGGCAUUAGUAUUCAAUUGUCAGAGGUGAAAUUCUUGGAUUUAUUGAAGACUAACUACUGCGAAAGCAUUUGCCAAGGAUGUUUUCAUUAAUCAAGAACGAAAGUUAGGGGAUCGAAGACGAUCAGAUACCGUCGUAGUCUUAACCAUAAACUAUGCCGACUAGGAGACGUACGUAGUAGAGUUAAGUUUUUAAUUUUUAAGUACGUAC
RNAcentral lists this ribosomal RNA (520 nucleotides) under uncultured Glomus. Its description in RNAcentral is "SSU rRNA". It matches the Rfam family "Eukaryotic small subunit ribosomal RNA", at positions 569 to 1085 of the family's 1831-position model. The record is from RNAcentral. Lineage: Eukaryota; Fungi; Glomeromycota; Glomeromycetes; Glomerales; Glomeraceae.